UUUCAGUCAGUGUCGAUCAUUCCCACUUCUAAACCCUAAACCCAGCCGCCGCCAUGGCCGCCGCCGUCCGCCUCUUCCUGCGCCGCCGCCUCGCCACGGCCACCGCCACGCCUCCGACCCCAGCCUCCAUCCUCAACCCUUCCUCCCCGACCACCCCGCUCACCUCGCGGCAGAAGACCCGCCUCGCCAUCUCCCUCCUCAAGUCCUCCCCGCCGCCGCCCCACGACCAGAUCCUCUCCAUCUGCCGCGCCGCCGCACUCUCCCCGAAGACCCACCUCGACCGUGUUGCUCUCUCCCUCGCCACCUCGAGGCUCUCCACCGCCCCGGACUCCCUCCGAGACCUCACGUCCUCUCUUCUCAUCCCCCACCACGCGCACCACGCCAUCGUGCUCUUUGGCCAGGCCGGCCUCCUCCCCGACGCCAUCUCCACCUUCCAGUCGUCCCCCUCCACCCGCUCCCUCAACGCCCUCCUCUUCGCCUGCAUCGUCGCCGGCAACCAUGCCGAGGCCGCUCGCAUCUUCCAGACCUUCCCCGACGCCCACCGCGUCAAGCCCAACGCCGAGACAUUCAACUCCAUUAUAAAAUCCUUCUCUGAGUCCGGCACCACAAGGUCCUUCUACUCGGUGUUCGAUGAAAUGUGCAAGGAGGGCGUGAAGCCCACCGCCACCACAUUUACUGCCGCGAUUGCUGGGUUUUACAAGGAGGAGCGCUUUGAUGAUGUAGAGAAGGUGAUUAAGCUCAUGAAGAAGCACGGUUGUGGUGAGUCACUGCAAGUGUUCAAUUCAAGGGUUCAGGGGCUGUGCAAGCUUGGCCGGAAUGGUGAUGCCAAGGCAUUACUGAGUGAGAUGGCCAAGAAAGGGACGAAGCCAAACUGGGUUACUUAUAACCAUUUGAUUUAUGGAUUCUGCAAGGAAGGGGAUUUGGAGGAAGCGAAGCGGCUGUACAAGGAAAUGGGAAAGAAGGGGCUUGUUGGGGAUAGUGGCUUCUAUUUUACUGUCAUUUUUCACCUUUGCAAGGCUGGCGAUUUUGAUACCGCCCUUGGUGUAUACAAUGAGAUAAUACCUAGGAACUGGGUACCCUGCUUCUCGACCAUGAAGAUGCUUGUGAAUGGGCUUGCUGGGAGCUCGAGAAUCGACGAGGCAAAAGGGAUCAUUGAGAAGAUGAAGGAGAAAUUUCCGGAUAGGGAUGAAGGGUGGAAGGAGGUAGAGGAGGCAUUGCCUCAAUAGAAUAACCACUCACAGAUGAAAACCCGCUGCUCAGUGAUUCAAAUUCAAGUUUGUCGCUGAACGACCCUUCUCAAAUUGUUUGUUGCCGGGUGCCAAAAACGUGGUUAGCAGUUGGGAACUGCACCAAUAUUUGAUGGACUGUUCUAAGCACAUGGAGCUUUGUUUAAGAUGUAAUUUUGCUAUUAGAAUAUGCUAGUCCCAGUUGCUGUUAUAAAAUAUCUCCC
Molecule: ribosomal RNA, 1450 nt
Filed under: Triticum aestivum (bread wheat)
Lineage: Eukaryota; Viridiplantae; Streptophyta; Magnoliopsida; Poales; Poaceae
Description: partial small subunit ribosomal RNA
Source: RNAcentral